CCUACGGGUGGCAGCAGUGGGGAAUAUUGCACAAUGGGCGAAAGCCUGAUGCAGCAACGCCGCGUGAGCGAAGAAGGCCCUCGGCUCGUAAAGCUCUGUCCGCAAGGAAGCAAAUGACGGUACCUGAGGAUGAAGCCCCGGCUAACUACGUGCCAGCAGCCGCGGUAAUACGUAGGGGGCUAGCGUUAUCCGGAAUUACUGGGCGUAAAGGGGGCGUAGGUGGUUUCUUAAGUCAGAGGUGAAAGGCUGCGGCUCAACCGCAGUAAGCCUUUGAAACUGGGGUACUUGAGUGCAGGAGAGGAAAGUGGAAUUCCUAGUGUAGCGGUGAAAUGCGUAGAUAUUAGGAGGAACACCAGUGGCGAAGGCGGCUCUCUGGACUGUAACUGACGCUGAGGCACGAAAGCGUGGGGAGCAAACAGGAUUAGAUACCCCUGUAGUC
This 439-nucleotide ribosomal RNA is filed under the name uncultured bacterium. RNAcentral describes it as "partial 16S ribosomal RNA". It matches the Rfam family "Bacterial small subunit ribosomal RNA", at positions 338 to 795 of the family's 1533-position model. The record is from RNAcentral.